CGUAGCCGAACUGAGAGGUUGAUCGGCCACAUUGGGACUGAGACACGGCCCAAACUCCUACGGGAGGCAGCAGUAGGGAAUCUUCCACAAUGGACGCAAGUCUGAUGGAGCAACGCCGCGUGAGUGAGGAAGGCUUUCGGGUCGUAAAACUCUGUUGUUGGAGAAGAAUGGUCGGCAGAGUAACUGUUGUCGGCGUGACGGUAUCCAACCAGAAAGCCACGGCUAACUACGUGCCAGCAGCCGCGGUAAUACGUA
Molecule: ribosomal RNA, 255 nt
Filed under: Lacticaseibacillus paracasei
Lineage: Bacteria; Bacillati; Bacillota; Bacilli; Lactobacillales; Lactobacillaceae
Description: partial 16S ribosomal RNA
Rfam family: Bacterial small subunit ribosomal RNA
Source: RNAcentral